UAAUUGUUCAGUGAACUUCAAAUGAAGUGAAUGACGACAGAUCUGACAGAGGUUCUCCCACUGUCACUGCUGGGCUCAUCCAUGGCCAGUGGGGGGGAGUCAAUCUUGGAGCCAGCUGGCAUUGGAUUUAUUGGACAUGGGGGAAGCUUUUGGCAGCUUUUAACAGAAGACAUCCUGAUAUAACCAAAACAUUUCCAUGAGAGCAGUCCAGAAGUGGAGCUGUUGUGCAGC
This is a long non-coding RNA of Vidua chalybeata, 231 nucleotides long. RefSeq lists it as uncharacterized. NCBI's taxonomy places the organism in Eukaryota, Metazoa, Chordata, Aves, Passeriformes, Viduidae. The record is from RefSeq and is a predicted model, not a curated record. The transcript is spliced from 3 exons.